GGCCGUAACAAUGUCCGCACUUCCCGUCUUUCUGGCUACCAUAUAUAUAUUUGCUCUACAACGGAGCACCUCAAUCCAAUCAUAUCCCGAAAUUCAGCCACAACUGGAAAUAUUCCAAAACUGCUAUCCCGACAGUGGCAUCUGGUUCAUGGUCAAGAGAAAUUAUCCCUACGAUCCAUACCACGGCGGAAGCGCUAGAUGCGUGAAAUAUGAGAGAAUUGGACCGGUCAUAGGUAACAGCAUGAACGUAAGGUACUCUUGGUGUCAGGAUGGUUCCGGACGUGGAUACGGAUCAAGUGUCGGCCGUCACGUUCUUACUUCUACUCCAGGAUACCACGAUGGGAAUCUGUACAACUUUUUCCCCUUCAAUGGU
This 373-nucleotide long non-coding RNA is filed under the name Dermacentor andersoni. RNAcentral describes it as "uncharacterized LOC126545031". Lineage: Eukaryota; Metazoa; Arthropoda; Arachnida; Ixodida; Ixodidae. The record is from RNAcentral.